This 254-nucleotide ribosomal RNA is filed under the name uncultured bacterium. RNAcentral's name for it is "partial 16S ribosomal RNA". It matches the Rfam family "Bacterial small subunit ribosomal RNA", at positions 524 to 776 of the family's 1533-position model. The record is from RNAcentral.
UACGGAGGGUGCAAGCGUUAAGUCGGAAUUACUGGGCGUAAAGCGUGCGUAGACGGUUAUGUAAGUCGGGUGUGAAAGCCCCGGGCUCAACCUGGGAAUUGCAUUCGAGACUGCAUAGCUAGGGUGCGGAAGAGGGAAGCGGAAUUUCCGGUGUAGCGGUGAAAUGCGUAGAUAUCGGAAGGAACACCAGUGGCGAAAGCGGCUUCCUGGUCCAGCACCGACGUUCAGGCACGAAAGCGUGGGGAGCAAACAGG